AUUGAACGCUGGCGGCAGACUUAACACAUGCAAGUCGAGCGGGGUGAUGGUGCUUGCACUAUCACUUAGCGGCGGACGGGUGAGUAAUGCUUAGGAAUCUGCCUAUUAGUGGGGGACAACAUCUCGAAAGGGAUGCUAAUACCGCAUACGUCCUACGGGAGAAAGCAGGGGAUCACUUGUGACCUUGCGCUAAUAGAUGAGCCUAAGUCGGAUUAGCUAGUUGGUGGGGUAAAGGCCUACCAAGGCGACGAUCUGUAGCGGGUCUGAGAGGAUGAUCCGCCACACUGGGACUGAGACACGGCCCAGACUCCUACGGGAGGCAGCAGUGGGGAAUAUUGGACAAUGGGGGGAACCCUGAUCCAGCCAUGCCGCGUGUGUGAAGAAGGCCUUAUGGUUGUAGAGCACUUUAAGCGAGGAGGAGGCUCUUUUGGUUAAUACCCAAGAUGAGUGGACGUUACUCGCAGAAUAAGCACCGGCUAACUCUGUGCCAGCCGCCCCGUAA
Molecule: ribosomal RNA, 502 nt
Filed under: uncultured bacterium
Lineage: Bacteria
Description: partial 16S ribosomal RNA
Rfam family: Bacterial small subunit ribosomal RNA
Source: RNAcentral